GGGGGUGUAAAGGUUUCGACGGGGGUAAUAAGCAAAGGUUGCAUGCCGAGGUACGGGUGGCUCGUAAAACAAUCCGUGACGCUUUAAGCGCCGAUAAUUACGAUUACGCUUUAGCAGCCUAAUAAGUUGCUAACGUCCUACCUGCCCUCUCCCACGGGGGAGGAUAGGACGUCAUUCAGUGGGAUAGUUUCAGGGAGAGUCCGUGGCCCUGCGGCGAAAUCAAGCGGAAUCGCGACUCAAGAAUCCCGGCCAGUGGAGUCUUGAGGGGCUAAACUUAAAUACAGGUACAAGCAUGUAGACGCCUUCUGUGUACGAUUCUCGGACGCGGGUUCGAUUCCCGCCACCUCCACCA
RNAcentral lists this transfer-messenger RNA (352 nucleotides) under Geobacter sp. It matches the Rfam family "transfer-messenger RNA". Rfam says of the family: Bacterial tmRNA, also known as 10Sa RNA or SsrA, is named for its dual tRNA and mRNA-like properties. RNAcentral also lists the same sequence under 1 other name. Lineage: Bacteria; Pseudomonadati; Thermodesulfobacteriota; Desulfuromonadia; Geobacterales; Geobacteraceae. The record is from RNAcentral.